Molecule: ribosomal RNA, 377 nt
Filed under: uncultured bacterium
Lineage: Bacteria
Description: bacterial SSU rRNA
Rfam family: Bacterial small subunit ribosomal RNA
Source: RNAcentral
GACGUAGGGUGCAAGCGUUGUCCGGAUUUAUUGGGCGUAAAGAGCUCGUAGGUGGUCUGUUGCGUCGGUAGUGAAAACCCGGAGCUCAACUCCGGGCCCGCUACCGAUACGGGCAGACUAGAGGUAGGUAGGGGAGAGUGGAAUUCCUGGUGUAGCGGUGAAAUGCGCAGAUAUCAGGAGGAACACCGGUGGCGAAGGCGGCUCUCUGGGCCUUACCUGACACUGAGGAGCGAAAGCAUGGGUAGCGAACAGGAUUAGAUACCCUGGUAGUCCAUGCCGUAAACGUUGGGCGCUAGGUGUGGGGGACAUUCCACGUCCUCCGUGCCGCAGCUAACGCAUUAAGCGCCCCGCCUGGGGAGUACGGUCGCAAGACUAAA